RNAcentral lists this ribosomal RNA (199 nucleotides) under uncultured bacterium. RNAcentral describes it as "partial 16S ribosomal RNA". It matches the Rfam family "Bacterial small subunit ribosomal RNA", at positions 1302 to 1500 of the family's 1533-position model. The record is from RNAcentral.
AGUCUGCAACUCGACUGCAUGAAGCUGGAAUCGCUAGUAAUCGCGAAUCAGAAUGUCGCGGUGAAUACGUUCCCGGGUCUUGUACACACCGCCCGUCACACCAUGGGAGUUGGAAGCGCCCGAAGUCUGUGACCUAACCGUAAGGGAGGAGCAGCCGAAGGUGAAGCCAGUGACUGGGGUGAAGUCGUAACAAGGUAUC